ACACGGGGGUGACCUACCCUAAAGUGGGGCAUAACAAUCNGGAAACCGAUGCUAAUACCGCAUGUGCUGGUCGCUCUUGUGAGAUUAGUAAAGGAUCGGCCGCCUUAGGAUGGGCCCGCGGUACAUCAGCUAGUUGGUGGGGUAAAGGCCUACCAAGGCGACGACGUAUAGCCGGCCNGAGAGGGCGAUCGGCCACAGGGGCACUGAGACACGGGUCCCACUCCUACGGGAGGCAGCAGUUAGGAAUCUUCCACAACGGGCGAAAGCCUGANGGAGCGACACUACCUGAAGGAUGACGGUCUNAGGAUNGUAAACUUCUGAACUAGGGACGAUAAUGACGGUACCUAGGUAAUAGCACCGGCUAACUCCGGGCCAGCAGCCGCGGUAAUACGGAGGGUGCGAGCGUUAUCCGGAAUCACUGGGCGUAAAGGGCAAGUAGGCGGU
RNAcentral lists this ribosomal RNA (444 nucleotides) under uncultured bacterium. RNAcentral's name for it is "bacterial SSU rRNA". It matches the Rfam family "Bacterial small subunit ribosomal RNA", at positions 113 to 579 of the family's 1533-position model. The record is from RNAcentral.